CACGUGGGAACGUGCCUUUAGGUUCGGAAUAGCUCCUGGAAACGGGUGGUAAUGCCGAAUGUGCCCUUCGGGGGAAAGAUUUAUCGCCUUUAGAGCGGCCCGCGUCUGAUUAGCUAGUUGGUGAGGUAAUGGCUCACCAAGGCGACGAUCAGUAGCUGGUCUGAGAGGAUGACCAGCCACAUUGGGACUGAGACACGGCCCAAACUCCUACGGGAGGCAGCAGUGGGGAAUCUUGCGCAAUGGGCGAAAGCCUGACGCAGCCAUGCCGCGUGAAUGAUGAAGGUCUUAGGAUUGUAAAAUUCUUUCACCGGGGACGAUAAUGACGGUACCCGGAGAAGAAGCCCCGGCUAACUUCGUG
Molecule: ribosomal RNA, 358 nt
Filed under: uncultured Alphaproteobacteria bacterium
Lineage: Bacteria; Pseudomonadati; Pseudomonadota; Alphaproteobacteria
Description: bacterial SSU rRNA
Rfam family: Bacterial small subunit ribosomal RNA
Source: RNAcentral